CAGCUCUUCUCCAUCAGGUUCAUCUGCAAGGCAGAAUAGCCUUUUCAGUUGAAAUUUUACAUUGUUUUCUUCAUUGAGCUUUGGGCCUAUUCCCUACACGCCCCUCACCCAUCAAACACUUACCUUUUGGAGACCUCCUGGAGGCAGCCAUAAUUUUCAGUUCACCCACAAUCCCUUAAUGCAGUUUGCACAGUGUUAAGGAAGCGAAACAGAGCAGUUUCUCCCUCUCCCAUGCAACAAUGACUCAGAAGCAGCCACCAUUUUGGCCCUGAGGGAGGUGUGACAAAAUGGCAGCUGCUUCCACAAGUCCAUCACAUGGCCCAGGGUUGAAUCCCGGGCACACUGAAAAUAACGGCUGCUUCCAGGACAUAGCCAUCCAGCCCUGGGAUGUAUGUCCUGGUCUUCUUCACCAACUUGAGAUCUACUUCUGAGAUAUAUUUCAGUAAAAUGAAUCAGGACGGAACUUAAAUAGUCAAUUUCUCAUCUACACUUCCAAUGACAAAUCAAAAAUGAAAUUUAAGCCUUCUCUAAA
Molecule: non-coding RNA, 532 nt
Organism: Pantherophis guttatus
Lineage: Eukaryota; Metazoa; Chordata; Lepidosauria; Squamata; Colubridae
Source: RefSeq, a predicted model, not a curated record